GCCCCUAUAGCCCAAUUGGCAGAGGCAACGGACUUAAAAUCCGUACAGUGUCGGUUCGAGUCCGACUGGGGGCACCA
Molecule: transfer RNA, 77 nt
Filed under: Rhodococcus sp. 1163
Lineage: Bacteria; Bacillati; Actinomycetota; Actinomycetes; Mycobacteriales; Nocardiaceae
Also listed under: 2 other names
Description: tRNA-Leu
Rfam family: tRNA
About the family: Transfer RNA (tRNA) molecules are approximately 80 nucleotides in length. Their secondary structure includes four short double-helical elements and three loops (D, anti-codon, and T loops).
Source: RNAcentral